RNA transcript from Daktulosphaira vitifoliae (grape phylloxera), 1945 nucleotides. RefSeq lists it as uncharacterized. NCBI's taxonomy places the organism in Eukaryota, Metazoa, Arthropoda, Insecta, Hemiptera, Phylloxeridae. The record is from RefSeq and is a predicted model, not a curated record. The transcript is spliced from 11 exons.
GCGCGAAUUUCAUAUAUUGUGUAAUAGUUAUAAUAUAUUGACUAGUUAUUACGUUGAUGUCAGUUGUGUUAAAUAUAACGUGUUAAUUUAUACUAUUGAAACACAUUAAAAUGGUUUUUGUCGAACUUAUAAUUAAUAUUUAACUUACAAAAAUGAAUUUUUAAUUGUGUAAAGUAUCAAUAUUUACGAAAAUGGAGGCAAGAAUUAAUAAUCUUGUACGCUCUAUAUUUCUUCUCAAUGAUAGACUUGUACCACCAUCUUUGGAUAAACACCUUACCCAAAAAAUAUUUAAUAAGCCUAAUAAAGAAGCUAUGGAACAAAUUUUAUACUUUUUAUUGUCAAUAUUAAAUCCAAAAUUUAUAAAAUCUAUCACAUGGCCAAUAAGAUCAUUAAAAGAAGCAGCAGAGUUUCGCAAUGCAGUCACUACUAUUAUAAAUGGUUUAGAUGAGUUUACUUAUAGAAAAUCUUUAAUAGUCAGUGGAAAAGUAAAUUCUUCUCUAUUAGCCAAUCCUGGAGGUUCAACUUUUGUAUUUUUUAUGUAUCAAUUUUGUAUAUAUGUUUUACGUUGUGAUUUGGUCAAAAAAGGUUUACCAGUCAUAAAUGAACCUUUAUAUAAUGAAGAUCCAUAUAUAGAAAACAAAAUACAGUUUUUUCGUAAGCUAAUUCAUAAUGAUUUUACUGAAGCAAAUGAAAAAAUGAAUCUCACUGAAACUUUACAUAUAAAUUUUACUAAAAAAGCUUUAAAAUUGAAGGAAAUCAUUCAGGAAAGUAAACAACAAAUAAAAGAUAAUAAAUCUGAACUUCAAACUAUUAUGUUAUCAGAUAAUAUUGAAAAUGAAGUUAUUGAACUGAGAAAACAAAAUAUUUAUUUGAGAACUAAAUUUAAUAAAAAUCGAUUAGUUAUAGAAAAUUGCAUUACUUUGGCAAAAGUUAUUUUGAAAAAUUCAGAAAUUUGGGAUGCAGAAGAUUUUAACUUUAUUUUGAGUUUAAAUAAAGAAAUUACCAGUGGAAAUAAUGGGAAAACACAUCUAGUAAAAUUACUAAAAAUUAUUAAAAACAGUUUAGAUGAUUUUAAUAGAUGGUGUAACCAUUUAGAUGAAAAGCAAGAAGAUAUUUAUAAUAUUGUGUUAGAAACAGAGAAAAUAGCUGAAAAAAUGUCUAAUCAGCUAAAACAGUAUAAAACAAUAGCAGAACAUAUUAAUGAUGGGAUUAACAAUCUAAAACUUAAUAACAAAAACUUAGAAGAGGAAAUUUUUUGUGAUAAAUAUCUUGGAGAAAUUAAUCCUAAAUUGCUAAAAGCCUAUAAAAAAUUACCUACUGUUAUUUUGAGACCAAAUAAAGUUGCUAAAUCAAAUAUACUUGCAAGUAAUGAUUCCAGAAGAUCAAGAAGAUCAAUUCUACUUCAUGGAAGUAAACCAUAUGUUCAAAAAAGUUUAUGUAUUAAUGAAAUUAAAAAUCUAUAUAACUCAAUUAUGUUGAUUCAGAAUAAUCAAAAAACUUCAAAAUGUAUCGUAGAACAUUCGGUGACAAUUGUUGAUCAAAGUUCAUUAAGUCAAUUUUCUGCAAAUGAUCUACAAAAAGUUAUUCUACUUAGUUGUACCUAUGUAUACUCAAAUAUUCCUGUCUCUGUAGAAAAAUUAAAUAUUUUGUGUUUGAAGUUUUUGAUAACUACUUUUUGGGGAAAACAUUUUUGUCCAAACGUUUAGAUCUUAAUGUGAACAUGGUGUCACAUUUACACAUGUGAAGUGAAUCUUCCUUUUCUGUUCCACACUUCUUGCACAGUGGUGAUUCUGUCACAUCCAUUGUGUAAAGAUGUUACACUAAAGAAUCAAACAAAGUGUGAAGCUUUUAAGUUACAAAACCAUGUUAUUAAUUGUGAACUAAAUAAAAAAGAAUCAUCUCAUCUUCAUAACAUUAGUCAAUUUAGAGAAGAUGAAGUAAAAAG